GACAAUGAUUACUUCAUCACAGAAGAUAACGUGGGGAUGCUUAAGUUGGCUAAAGAAGCAAACUCAAUCCUGGUACGUUUGAUUUUGAUCUACUUUUACCUGAAACGACAUUGAUUAAUUUGAUUGAUGCAGCCGCGCACUAAUCACCUGGUGUGGGAUUAUCCAUGCCUAACCUUUUCUAGUUUUGAAAUUUGAGCAGUUUGAUUACCGUAUCCCGACAGUUGGCACCUGCGGUGCAGCUGUGGACAGCCAUUUGCAGAUGAACGGGCUCCCGAUCAGCGUCUACGCACCGGAGACAGUUGGGUGUGUGGUGGUUGACAAGGAGGGUCGGUGCGCUGCAGGCACUUCAACUGGUGG
This 357-nucleotide long non-coding RNA is filed under the name Gossypium barbadense (sea-island cotton). Its description in RNAcentral is "long non-coding RNA (GBAR_LNC003885)". Lineage: Eukaryota; Viridiplantae; Streptophyta; Magnoliopsida; Malvales; Malvaceae. The record is from RNAcentral.